Molecule: small RNA, 125 nt
Filed under: Marmota monax (woodchuck)
Lineage: Eukaryota; Metazoa; Chordata; Mammalia; Rodentia; Sciuridae
Source: RNAcentral
GCUGGGCACAGUGGCGCAUGCCUGUAAUCCCAGUGGCUAGAGAGGCUGAGGCAGGAGAAUCCUGAGUUCAAAGCCAGCCUCAGCAAUGGCGAGGCACUAAGCAAUUCAGUGAGACUCUGUCUCUA